UGAGAUGCUAAUGAGGUUUAUUUACAAAGGUGUAGUGGCAGACAAGCAGUGGGGCAUGACAAAUAACUGAAGACACCUAAACUGGGAGAACUAAAAUAACAGACCUGGAAGCAUACGACAAAGGGCUGAGACGCAGCCAAGGAACAGGACACCGUUGAACACAGGGUAACCGCAGACUGACACGGCGUAACACAGACGAACCAGCAACAGGCAGGAGAACACACAGGGCUUAAAUACACACACCAGUAAUCAGGGGAUGAGAGACAGGAGGGCAACACAGCUGGGAGGAAUCAGAGCUGAGGGGACAGGGGAAACGUAAACAGAACACACUCACAUCAGACAGAGACCUUCACAAUAAAACAGGAAACUCAGACACAGGGAACCAAACAAGACACAGAACUAAACAGACAGAUUCACAAACAGUUGGGGUGACACCAUAGACAGAGACACAGACGCAGACUCAGAGGCAGACCAAACAUAACACAUAGAACUCAAACAAUAAUCAUCAUCAUCAUCAUAAUAAACUAGAAAAUGAUAACAAACUAAAAGCGCUGGGUAACCGACCCAGGACCAUGACAGUUUGUAAACUUACAGUCUGUAUAGCAGGAUGCAGACAGACAGCAGAGAGACGCAAACCUCCCAGCACCCUCUUAGUUAGGACAUCAACAUCAACAUCAACAUCCUCUUUGCUGUUGCAUGCUGGGGCAGCAGGUUGAGAUUUGCAGAUGAAAAGAAACUCAAUAGACUGACCCACAAGGCCAGAAAGUUGUCAGGAGCUGGACUCUCUUAACGUAGAGACAGAGAGGUGGAUGUUGUCCAAGGUAAGGACAAUACCUCCCACCCACUCAAUGACAUGCUGGCCAGUCACAGGAGCACGUUCAGUGAGAGACUGAGAUUACUGAUAAUGUACGCAUGAACGACACGGAAAAUCCUUUCUACCUGUGGAUGUGUUUCAGUAGAACUCUUCCAUCUAAUGUACAGGACACAUUCCGAUAGCUCUACACCCUUGAUAUUUGCACAUCCCCUUUUGAGAGAAUUAAGUUUUAAAGUUUGGUAAGAGGAGUACUAGAGGGUAAUGGUCUUCAGGUGCUGCAACUCUGGCCCUUUAGAUAGAGAGAGCAGGUUGGGUUAUCUGUUCCACAAUUAUUUAAAUUAAACAAUCAUCAAUGGAGCUGUGAUAUAAGGAUUCCUGGUGCUCACAAGUACAACAACAAAGCCAGAAAUUCAAAAAGACGUUUAUCCAUGCAAUCAGUACCUACCUAGCUUACAUUUUCAAGUUAUCAACAAUAACUCUGGAUUAUGGACAAAGCCAAAAUGGACUUUUUGAGUAAGAAUGUCAUAAAGUUUUUAUGUGUCAGUUAGAAUGAUUAUUUUCUUUGUUCCCUGAUUAGACUAGAACAAUUAAAUAAAUAUAUAAAAAAUACAUAUGGUGAUUGUACAGGGUUCAGGAUGGGGUAAACCCUCAUGAACAACAGUAACAUCCUGUAAUAGAGUCACAGAAACAAUUUUUAGCUGAUAAAUCCAGUGAUCGCUGCCUCUGUCCUCAUUCAGAUUAGUAUAUUUUAUUACAAAAAUAAUUAACUCUUACCUAACAGACUUCAGUGUCUGUAAACACCCACACUUGUGUAGAUUAGAGAUCCGAUAUCAAUUGUACGAUAUAGGACAUUAGAAAGUCUGACUUGACAGGAGGAUUCAAAGAAAACCUGCCUCCUUCUCUACCGUGUCUCCUUCAUCCAUCCUCAAAAUUAAAGCCAGUCUGCUGUGAGAGACUGAACCAGCAGAGUUCACAUUAAAUGGUCACACUUAUGGCUAUAUAGCAUCACACAGACUCUGACAUUUAAAAAAAAACAAAAAAAACCGACAAAUACAUCAGAAAAAAAACAAAUAUUUACUUCAAUCAUUAACACAAUUAGACAACAUGUAAAAACAAAUAAUUUGAUUAAAAAAAACAAAUUCCAUAUAUUAGCAUGUUUUAGCAUCUUAAAUACUGCACAACAGAUUUCAUGAUUAGAUGUCUCCAUAAAUAAAUACAUGUUCAAAUGUCCACCUUUGCACAGGUAUAGAAACAGGUUCAUUCUCUGUUGACAGUUUCUUACUUUAUACAAACUCUACAGGGGUGAUUUUUUUAACAUCCACCUGGAUGCUGGAGAUAAACUUAUCAACCCACACAUGGAGGCUUUAAGAUGUGGAGUCUAGCCAAAGGUUGGUGUCACCGUGUCCAAGUCCUUCAUUUAUACAGUUUAUAAUUAUACCAGGAAAGUGAAGCUCUCGCCACGACCUGUUGAUCAUGUGUUUUAUCCACUCUAAAAGUUGAAGUUACAGGAACUCUGAGAUGUGUCCAUCCUGCUGCUGUGGUCAUCAUCUUAAUGACAGGAUGACGCUGUGGGAAACUCUGGUUUGUCUGAUGUUCAGGGGUCCAAACCCAGAGUGCAGUUCAUGUAUUCAUGAGAAAAAAAAAAAUCUGUCUCCGUCUCUUUCCGUUACACGGAGUUAAAGGAAAAAAUGGUUUGCUUCAGACAAACAUCUUGAUCAGCAGGAAGGUCAUGAGAAUUCUUCUCCUUGCAUGUAACGAAUUUAUAAAUUAUCCCAGCAAUGACUGCAAAGAGCAACAAAGUACAAACUGUCAGUCCAACUUUGAGUCCGACAGAUUGAUCCUCCUUCCCUCCAUCCUCUGUGUGUCCUCCUGGCUGACCUGCAGGUGAGAAACAGGUGUGAGGUGUCAGCUGUCAGGUAGGUGAUGAGUGAAGAACAGAACAGAAUCCAUUUCCUCUUCAAACUGCUGUCAGACAUUAUCUACUGCACUCUGAUCACAACACCCCGGCUAGCUAUCGAGCUGGUGGGUAAAAUAUGUCUCCGAAAACGUCGGAGUGCUUUUGCAAAUAUGUGAUGUCUUUAAAAACCGAGCAGAUAUUUGAACUUUACACAGCUACAUUCUCGCCUGAAAAUAUGUUAAAAGUUUGUUUUGUGACGCAGAAAGAGUAAUAAGAGUAAUAUUAAAACUAAGUAGCUGCCGCCAUUGUUCGAAACUGGAAUAGGCUGGGCUGCGCUAUGAAUUCUGGGAUAGGUUGGGCCACGAACGAUACACCCGACCCAUCCUUCAAAUCCGGAGAAAUGAAGGACCCAUUUCUGGGCCGCAUUUGUCGGAGUCUUCGAAAUUGGACAGCCUUCGUCGUGUCGCAUUGAUGUAAUGCGGCCUCAGGAGGAUGUGGUUCCUGUAUUUGGACACAGCUAGGAUACUGGACACAGCUUCUUCUUCUUCUUCGAGGUUUAACGGCAGCUGGCAUCCUUGUACAUGCAGCGCUGCCAUCUUCUGUUUCAGUCCGUUAUUACACUCUUAAAUCCUACUUAUUCCAGCGUCUUUUGGGAUCUUACAAAGCUUCAAACGACUAUUAAAUUAGUCGUCGACGAUUUUGAUAGUCAACGUAAUCGUGACUAGUCGACUAAUCGUGGCAGCCCUAGUUUCAUUUUAAUAGACAACUUUUGUACACAAACGUCAACUCGACACCCACUUGAGAUAUAAACACAGAUCCUGCAUCGAGCUUGUAAGAUCUUCAGGGUGUCAGACUGUGGGAUGCAAUUUUUUCAUUCAAUGAGGAAAGAUUCUAAAAGAAAACAUGGCAAUACAAUUGAAACAUGGCAAAAACAGGUAAUUUUCUACAGGUGACACUAAGUUAAACUAUAGCUUAAUGAACAAUGUUUUAAUUAUAAUAUAUCAUAUAUACAGUAUGUUUAGUUUUUAUUUAAAAGUGCAUCAUAAAUACACUUAUAACAUCUGUAAGCACACUUCUGGUUAAUAAUGCAGCAAGUUAUUAUUGGCUCUCUCUGUCUGGACAAAUUAAUUUGAGUUAAGGGUAUAAACUCACACCGUCAUCUUCAUCCGGGUUACCACACACACAAAAUAGAUUAAGCCUUGCCACACUCGUCUAUACAACUCCUCAUUCAACAAUCAUUUUCAGUGAGCCAGCAGAUCACACACAAGUUACAGUACGAGCAUAAGUGCUAACAAUAUGUCAUUGUUUUACAAAAAAACCCAAACUACUCACCCAUGACACCUUCAUGUUUCACACCCACCAUUGGCUUCAAUGCCCAAAUCCCAAGUCCUGGGGGGUGUACUCAUCCUCCUGUCUGCUCUCCUUCCGCUCUGGAGCACCAGUUUUUUGUUUGUUUGUUUUUUGGUUGACAAACCCAAAGAAAACAAAAAACCCUUCAAAAUGAAAAUAUUUUUCUUCUACUUAGUGUGUCCCUAACACUCAUUUUCCUCAGAGCUCCUCUUUUGCAGAGUUGGUUCAAGUGAUGUAUUUCCCAAAAACAUUUCAAAAAUGCCUUUUUAAUCAGUGGAGUGUAAACUCCCCAAGUAAAUAUUGCAGUUUGAUAUUUGGACGUGUCAGUAGAACUCAUGUGGCACCUAGUUUACUGGAAUUCUGCGAAUAUGAGCAUCCAGUGUGACGUUGUAGAGGCGGCCCUCCUACUUUUUCGGCCGUGGGGGGAUUUGAUACACUACAAUGCAUCAGUCGCGUCAUCUCUAUUCACUCCAAUGGAUCAGUUUUGUUUUUUGUUUUGUUACAGCGAUGGCAGACGGAGCACAAGAGAGAGGAUUUUAUUAUGGAUUUCAAAAUCUUAUCUGGUUUUCUUAUUCAGUUCAAUUUCAUUUAUAUAUCGCCAAAUCACAACAAUAGUCGCCUUAGGGCGAGCCCCCAUAUGGCUAAGAAAAUGUCUGGAGGCGGCCCUGUUUGCAAGCAUAUUUGUGCCUGCGUCUUUUUUACCUUAUAAAAACAUCUGAACAAAAUUAAAGAAAUGUUAUAUAUUGGCACUCUUGAAAGGCGUUUUUUGUAUGUCUAUUAAAGUUAUUAGCAGAAAAUUGAUUGCAGCUUCUCCCUUUUGACAGGAACGUUGUUUGUGGCUCAAUGUUUGACAAGUAAGCGCCGCAGGGAACAAUCUCAAGUCUUCAUGUUUAAACUCGCGACUCUCCCAAUCAACAGCUCCCAAACCUCCGACCAACGCGCCAUCUACGAUGACCUGACGUCGCCACAACUUUAAGAUUUUGGAAAAAAUUUUAACCAAUAAAAGGCUUCAAAUACUUAAUCACACAAAAUGACGUUUUCACAGUCAGCGGGGGUGAUUUGUUUUGGAGUGUUCAGUGAUGUUAUGAAUAACAGAACACGGUUCGGCGCCGAGGCGAAAUCUCACCGGCGAAAGUGGACGCGGUGGCGACGACAACGAGCAUCAGAAUCCAGCAGGGCCACGAAAACGUUACAACAGCCAUUUGCGCUUAACCUAAAACAGCAAAGAAUGAGGAAGGAAUAGACGCAGGGUUAAAGUCACGGAGUCCAGUUAGUUUACGUACACAGUAAAGAUUUACUGAAAUAUCCGUUUGUUUACCGUCGUUUUAAACUACGACAGAAAAUGAUGUGACGUUGCUGUACCAGCUCGUACCGUGAACCCGUUUAAACGUUAGCGCUUUACAGAUUAAUGGUGAAUAACACGGUAAACAUCGAGGGUCACGUUCAAUGUGUCAGUAAAAACAGAGACGCCGGUAAACGUUUCUCUUUUAAAGGUUUUCCGUCAGUUACUCACGAGCUCUCAGCCACGUACAGCCAACACGACCACGGUGGAAACUACUCUG
Astatotilapia calliptera (eastern happy) is the source of this 5623-nucleotide long non-coding RNA. The record is from Ensembl. Lineage: Eukaryota; Metazoa; Chordata; Actinopteri; Cichliformes; Cichlidae.